This 1578-nucleotide ribosomal RNA is filed under the name Triticum aestivum (bread wheat). Its description in RNAcentral is "partial small subunit ribosomal RNA". The record is from RNAcentral. Lineage: Eukaryota; Viridiplantae; Streptophyta; Magnoliopsida; Poales; Poaceae.
AUGCAAAUUUACUUACAGAGGUGGCACGACGACGGUGGCAUGCAGCCACAGGUCGCUCUUCCUCCUCGCCGUGAUCCCGAACGCCUCCGCCAUGUCCAGCUCCUCCGUCCCCCCGGGGAGCUCCCAGUCGAAAUGGAAGAGGAGGCUCGCCAGCGCGACCUCCAUGACGGCGAGCCCGAACGUGAUCCCGGGGCACAUCCUCCGCCCCGCCCCGAACGGCACAAGCUGGAAGUCCGUCCCUCUGAAGUCCACCGCCGCCGCGGAUUCCUCCUCGAACCUCUCCGGCCGGAACUCCUCGGCGUCCGGCCCCCAGCUCGCCGCGUCCCGGCCGAUGGCCCACGCGUUGACCAGCACCAUGGUGCCCUGGGGCACGUCGUACCCGAGGACGCGACUGGGCUCGCGGCACUCCCGCGGGAGGAGCAGCGGCACUGCCGCGUGCAGCCGGAGCGUCUCCUUGAUCACCAGCCGCAGGUACGGCAGCUCCUGCAAGGCCUCCUCCCGGGCGCGGCUCUGCCCGGCGAGCGCGCUGCGCACCUCCGCCUGCGCCCUCCGGAGCGCCGCCGGUUUCCGCACCAGCUCCGCCAUGGCCCACUGCAACGUCGACGCCGAGGUCUCGCUCCCGGCCCCGAAGAGGUCCCUCAUCAUAGCACGGACCGUCCCGAUGUCGAGAGGCGCGCCGCCGCCGCCGCCGUCCAGAAGCACGUCCAAGAUGUCCUCCUCUUCCUCGCAGCCGGCGCCGGCCGCCUUCCUCGCGCGUUUCUCCUCGAUGACGCCGUCCAUGAGCCGGGACAUCUCCCGGACCGUCGCCUCCACUUGGCGCGCCGUCCCGCUGAGCGCGCGCGCGAGGCGCGACGACGGAAACAGGUCGGCGAGACUGAACCCAGCGGCCACCCUGACACCCUCGCAAAGGCACGCCAGGAAGGCUUCGCGGUCCGCGAUCCGGUCGCCAACCAUGGAGCGCACUACGGCGUCGGCGACAUACGUGGCGACGAGGGAGCUGACGUUCACAGCGGCUCCGGACGCCGCCUCCACGGCCACGGACGCAACGAGGGCGGCCGCCUCGGCCUCACGCGUCCCUCGGAACGACCGAACCCGCGGCGCGCCGAGAAGCUCCGUGGCGCAGAGCUUGCGGACACGGCGCCAGUGGUCGCCGUGCGGCGCGAGGGCGAUGCCGAGGCCGUCUCCAGUGAGCGAAACAGUGGUGUUCGUCCUCGGCCGCGUGGCGAAGGCGACGUCGUGGGUCUUCAUGAUCUCCAUCGCCGCGGCCGCCGACGAGGCCACAACGACGGGGAGCUCGCCCAUGCGGAGCAGCAUGAGCGGGCCGUGCCGGAGGGCGAGGUUGCGCAUGGCGCGGUGCGGGAGCGCGCCCACGAGGUGGUGCAUGCUGCCGAUCACCGGCAGCUGCCAUGGCCCCGGAGGCAGGUUCAGCGUCACGCCACCAUACUGCUUGCUGCGUCGCCUGAGCUUGACGACGAGGAGAAGAGUGAGAAGCAGGAUGGCACCGGCCAAAAGCAGGCCAUGGUUCUCGUGGUUCCCCGCCAUGGCUAUGGCUUGGAACCAAUCGGCAAUCGGUCGUAG